Molecule: unclassified non-coding RNA, 352 nt
Filed under: soil metagenome
Description: partial contains 5.8S ribosomal RNA, internal transcribed spacer 2, and large subunit ribosomal RNA
Rfam family: 5.8S ribosomal RNA (bases 1-120)
Source: RNAcentral
GAUGAAGAACGCAGCGAAAUGCGAUAAGUAAUGUGAAUUGCAGAAUUCAGUGAAUCAUCGAAUCUUUGAACGCACAUUGCGCCCGCCAGUAUUCUGGCGGGCAUGUCUGUUCGAGCGUCAUUACAACCCUCAGGCCCCCGGGCCUGGCGUUGGGGAUCGGCGGAGCCCCCCGUGGGCACACGCCGUCCCCCAAAUACAGUGGCGGUCCCGCCGCAGCUUCCAUCGCGUAGUAGCUAACACCUCGCGACUGGAGAGCGGCGCGGCCACGCCGUAAAACACCCAACUCUUCUGAAGUUGACCUCGAAUCAGGUAGGAAUACCCGCUGAACUUAAGCAUAUCAAUAAGCGGAGGA